UAUUAGGUGCUGUCAAACAUGUAGGGCCUGUGCUGACACUCUCAGGGAAUUAUUUCUGUGUGCCAGAGUGGAGAAGCCUCUGGAUCAGUGCACUGGUAUGACAGUAUGCUUUUCUGAUGUGAAAAAGGCACUGCAGGCACUGGCCUUAUCAUUCAGGCCUAGAGGUAGUCAGGACCUUCACACAGAGCAUCUUAUGAGAGGACAAACAUUACCUUGAUUACUUUGUGUUUCUUCCUUGAAAAUCAUCUUGAUGUGUGUGAUUCAAAAUCGAAGGAAAAGCUGUUCAGCAGAGAAUUAUUUAUAUAGCAUUCUUUCAUUGAGGUACAUAUAACCAGAGGGAGAUGACUACUUUCAAACUACAGAACCUAUAUUUGACUUCCAAGGUGCAGCUCAUGUGCUUGCGCUGCUGAUCCCACAGUGCCAUGUUCAUAAGUCUUCUUUCGACUGCACUAUACAACUCCUCCAAAAGGCAUCAUGGCUGCAGUGUCAGGAUUGAAUUAAAACAUCAUAAAGAGGAGAAAUUCUUUCCACUCUCUACUUCUUCUCAAUGAUU
Molecule: long non-coding RNA, 553 nt
Filed under: Anser brachyrhynchus (Pink-footed goose)
Lineage: Eukaryota; Metazoa; Chordata; Aves; Anseriformes; Anatidae
Description: lncRNA (ENSABRG00000008863.1)
Source: RNAcentral